UCUAAUAUGGCAGAAUAGUGCAAUAGAUUUAAGAUCUAUAAAUAAAGAAAUCUUUUUUUAGAA
Molecule: transfer RNA, 63 nt
Filed under: Dinoderus minutus
Lineage: Eukaryota; Metazoa; Arthropoda; Insecta; Coleoptera; Bostrichidae
Description: tRNA-Leu
Rfam family: tRNA
About the family: Transfer RNA (tRNA) molecules are approximately 80 nucleotides in length. Their secondary structure includes four short double-helical elements and three loops (D, anti-codon, and T loops).
Source: RNAcentral